UUACACAUGCAAGUCGAACGGUGAUGUCAGAGCUUGCUCUGGCGGAUCAGUGGCGAACGGGUGAGUAACACGUGAGUAACCUGCCCCCGACUCUGGGAUAACUGCUAGAAAUGGUAGCUAAUACCGGAUAUGACGAUUGGCCGCAUGGUCUGGUCGUGGAAAGAAUUUCGGUUGGGGAUGGACUCGCGGCCUAUCAGGUUGUUGGUGAGGUAAUGGCUCACCAAGCCUACGACGGGUAGCCGGCCUGAGAGGGUGACCGGCCACACUGGGACUGAGACACGGCCCAGACUCCUACGGGAGGCAGCAGUGGGGAAUAUUGCACAAUGGGCGAAAGCCUGAUGCAGCAACGCCGCGUGAGGGAUGACGGCCUUCGGGUUGUAAACCUCUUUUAGUAGGGAAGAAGCGAAAGUGACGGUACCUGCAGAAAAAGCACCGGCUAACUACGUGCCAGCAGCCGCGGUAAUACGUAGGGUGCAAGCGUUGUCCGGAAUUAUUGGGCGUAAAGAGCUCGUAGGCGGUUUGUCGCGUCUGCUGUGAAAUCCCGAGGCUCAACCUCGGGUCUGCAGUGGGUACGGGCAGACUAGAGUGCGGUAGGGGAGAUUGGAAUUCCUGGUGUAGCGGUGGAAUGCGCAGAUAUCAGGAGGAACACCGAUGGCGAAGGCAGAUCUCUGGGCCGUAACUGACGCUGAGGAGCGAAAGCAUGGGGAGCGAACAGGAUUAGAUACCCUGGUAGUCCAUGCCGUAAACGUUGGGAACUAGAUGUGGGGACCAUUCCACGGUCUCCGUGUCGCAGCUAACGCAUUAAGUUCCCCGCCUGGGGAGUACGGCCGCAAGGCUAAAACUCAAAGGAAUUGACGGGGGCCCGCACAAGCGGCGGAGCAUGCGGAUUAAUUCGAUGCAACGCGAAGAACCUUACCAAGGCUUGACAUAUACCGGAAACAUGCAGAAAUGUGUGCCCCGCAAGGUCGGUAUACAGGUGGUGCAUGGUUGUCGUCAGCUCGUGUCGUGAGAUGUUGGGUUAAGUCCCGCAACGAGCGCAACCCUCGUUCUAUGUUGCCAGCACGUAAUGGUGGGAACUCAUAGGAGACUGCCGGGGUCAACUCGGAGGAAGGUGGGGAUGACGUCAAAUCAUCAUGCCCCUUAUGUCUUGGGCUUCACGCAUGCUACAAUGGCCGGUACAAAGGGCUGCGAUACCGUAAGGUGGAGCGAAUCCCAAAAAGCCGGUCUCAGUUCGGAUUGAGGUCUGCAACUCGACCUCAUGAAGUCGGAGUCGCUAGUAAUCGCAGAUCAGCAACGCUGCGGUGAAUACGUUCCCGGGCCUUGUACACACCGCCCGUCAAGUCAUGAAAGUCGGUAACACCCGAAGCCAGUGGCCUAACCGCAAGGGAGGAGCUGUCGAA
RNAcentral lists this ribosomal RNA (1400 nucleotides) under Clavibacter michiganensis subsp. michiganensis. Its description in RNAcentral is "bacterial SSU rRNA". It matches the Rfam family "Bacterial small subunit ribosomal RNA". The record is from RNAcentral. Lineage: Bacteria; Bacillati; Actinomycetota; Actinomycetes; Micrococcales; Microbacteriaceae.